RNAcentral lists this ribosomal RNA (579 nucleotides) under uncultured Bacteroidota bacterium. RNAcentral describes it as "bacterial SSU rRNA". It matches the Rfam family "Bacterial small subunit ribosomal RNA", at positions 60 to 638 of the family's 1533-position model. Lineage: Bacteria; Pseudomonadati; Bacteroidota. The record is from RNAcentral.
AGUCGAGGGGUAUAAGGAGCUUGCUCCUUAGAGACCGGCGCACGGGUGCGUAACGCGUAUGCAAUCUACCUUUCACAGAGGGAUAGCCCAGAGAAAUUUGGAUUAAUACCUCAUAGUAUAUAUGGAUGGCAUCAUUUGUAUAUUAAAGUCACAACGGUGAAAGAUGAGCAUGCGUCCCAUUAGCUAGUUGGUAAGGUAACGGCUUACCAAGGCGACGAUAGGUAGGGGUCCUGAGAGGGAGAUCCCCCACACUGGUACUGAGACACGGACCAGACUCCUACGGGAGGCAGCAGUGAGGAAUAUUGGUCAAUGGGCGCAAGCCUGAACCAGCCAUGCCGCGUGCAGGAUGAAGCAUCUAUGGUGUGUAAACUGCUUUUGUACGGGAAGAAACAGAGGUUCGUGAACCUCCUUGACGGUACCGUAAGAAUAAGGAUCGGCUAACUCCGUGCCAGCAGCCGCGGUAAUACGGAGGAUCCAAGCGUUAUCCGGAAUCAUUGGGUUUAAAGGGUCCGUAGGCGGUUUGGUAAGUCAGUGGUGAAAGCCCAUCGCUCAACGGUGGAACGGCCAUUGAUACUGCCA